CGUGGGACCCAAGCGUUAUCCGGAAUUACUGGGCGUAAAGAGUUGCGUAGGUGGCAUAGUAAGUCGGUAGUGAAAGCGUGAGGCUCAACCUCAUAUACAUUACUGAAACUGCUAAGCUAGAGCAUGAGAGAGGUAGCUGGAAUUCCUAGUGUAGGAGUGAAAUCCGUAGAUAUUAGGAGGAACACCGAUGGCGUAGGCAGGCUACUGGCUCAUUGCUGACACUAAGGCACGAAAGCGUGGGGAGCGAACGGGAUUAGAUACCCCGGUAGUCCACGCCGUAAACUAUGGAUGCUAGCUGUUAUCAGUAUCGACCCUGGUAGUAGCGAAGCUAACGCGUUAAGCAUCCCGCCUGUGGAGUACGAGCGCAAGCUUA
This 373-nucleotide ribosomal RNA is filed under the name uncultured organism. Its description in RNAcentral is "bacterial SSU rRNA". It matches the Rfam family "Bacterial small subunit ribosomal RNA", at positions 526 to 896 of the family's 1533-position model. The record is from RNAcentral.